AAAUUAUUUUAUUAUUUUGUUCAAAUAAUAUAUACAUGUUCAUAAAUAUAAAAAAAAAACAAAUUAUAUUUAGGAAGUUAGUUUUAAUAUAAAAUUAUAACGACGCGCCAUCUAGUUUCAAAAACGUUCCGAUGAUGAAACGCGACAUCUCCGGUCAAUCGGUCAAGGUUAGCACGUGGCGACCAGAAAUAUUUGUGGAAUAACACGGGACAGUGUGCUGAGUUUAUGGUUUUAGAACUGGAAAAGCCAAUGAUUCUGCAACACGACUACCCUAGACUGAACGCCAUUGCUUUCACACUUAAGGCCACACAGAAACUCGGAUUUAAAGUUCUCGAAGACUCUUUGCAGCCCAGAUUUGACGCCCUCAAACUUUUCGUUGAUUUCUACUUUCGAGCGAAAUCUCAAAGGAAUUCAUUUCACUCGUGACGACAUUCGACCCGCCACAAAGAAAUGGUUCGAGAACAAGCCGAAGAAGACUAGGUCAAGUGUUACUAAGUUGGAAAUACUGAACUUUGUUCCUUUAAUGUUAUGACGUAACACAUGUCACGUAUUUGUGGAAAGUAACCAAUUGUUUGAAUGCAUUGUUAAUAAUGCAUUGUUAAUAUUUCUAUUGUUGGUGCAGUUUCGUUGGAGGAAAAAACAAGUGAACUUCCGCUUUCUUCUUUUCACCUGUUUUUUUCUUUAGAUUUGUGGAAAAAAUCUUGAUAGCAAGUAAAUAAACUAUGAAUUUUGAUUUAUAAGAAAUGUGAUAGAAUGUUGAAUUCAAACAUAUUUAAUUUAACACGUUUAAUUUCUACUUAGAAUAUGUUCCGUGAAGUGUUCGAAGCGCAUUAUAUUUCAUUUGCAAUAUUCGUUCGCGUGUUUCAUUAUGGUAAGGUAUCGUUACUGACUUUCGUUGUUAGUUGUUAGAAUAUCGUAUGCAUUAGUUUAUACAGGAAUAAUACGGUAAGUUUAAUGUACUGUACAAAUGUUUGUAUGUACAAUUUUGAUUAUUAUUAAACUAUUUAAUUAGCGUUAUGCAGCUGUUUUUCAAAUUUGAGUUAGGACGAAUGAAACUCCACAAGUGAUGCUAAUUAUGUGUAGAGUUUCAUUCUUUCCAGCUCUCGGUGGAACUCUGACGCAGCCACCUCCCCGUGGUGAGUUCUGGGUUGCCAUUCGUUUGGAAAUAACGAAGGGCAUGCAAAGAGUUGCGUGUUUCCGUUUAAUUUAUUAUUGUAAGAAUGAAUGAAAAGAAGCCAAUACACGUAGGAAUAACAGAAGUAACAAGCAGUUAUUUAUUGUGACGUCACAAUGUUCUCAAUUCUAGUAAUAUCUCGUACUUCUACAUUGUAGUUUUUCUGUUAGCAAUAGAAUUUAAUUGAAUGUUGUUUAUCUAUGUUAAUAAGUUACCGGCAUUCGGUGGAAAAUAUUUGAAUUGAAAUAAUUUGAUUUCCGUGCAAACCGGAAGUUCGUAUAGCCUACAGUUAAUGGGGCCUUUUCCCCCAAAGCUUUCCAUAUCUGUUUUCGACUUUCGUGUAUCUAAUUCUGGAAAUUAAGGAAAGACACACCGAUAAACGGUCGCCAGAGGAAAUUUAUAUGUAUGUUUAAAUCACGAUUAUGGAUUCCAGUUCAGGAGAGUGUUCUGUUAAGACGUGUUGCUGUUUUUGUGAGGAACUGUUUUUAUUCUUUCUGGUGCCUGGGUUAGGUAAAGUUUUAAAAUAAUACAG
This 1706-nucleotide long non-coding RNA is filed under the name Centruroides sculpturatus (bark scorpion). Its description in RNAcentral is "uncharacterized LOC111625283". Lineage: Eukaryota; Metazoa; Arthropoda; Arachnida; Scorpiones; Buthidae. The record is from RNAcentral.